Molecule: long non-coding RNA, 2336 nt
Organism: Phyllostomus hastatus (greater spear-nosed bat)
Lineage: Eukaryota; Metazoa; Chordata; Mammalia; Chiroptera; Phyllostomidae
Exons: 3
Source: RefSeq, a predicted model, not a curated record
CUGAUGCCUCUGGGGUGGAACGCAGCAUCUGUUUAACGCGGCAGCAGGUGACAGAUUACAGCGCUUGGGAAGAAGCUCCCCAUAUCUAAUUGAAAAUCCCAGGGGAGCUUUAGCCCUUACCCUGACGCGCCCUGACUGAUUGAGUCACCACUGAGACACACUCCCAGGCCCUGAAGACGUGACACCUUGGCUGACACUGCUCUUCUCAAGACCCCUGGAAGUGGAUUUAUCCGCUCAGGUUUUGAGUCACCAAGAAAGCAGAGCCAAACAUCACUUUGCAAGCUGGAGCCCUACCCCGAAAUGUGGAGCCAAGCACUUCCAGCCCAAGACACACUGUCACCUGUGUGUCUGGUGCCGGCGACAGGAAGCUGCGCAGACCUUCUAGGGGCCUGACAAUCCCGGACCAUCAGCGCCCGGGGACUCCUGUCCCUCCUCCCUGCAGGGACAAGGGAGAGCCCACGGGACUCGAAUUUAAGGAGCUGAGUCUGGACAUUCCUGCCAUACUCCAACAGUCAGCUGCAUCUUUUCUUCACAUUACAUCAUGUGCCAUUCAACACAGACGGACGGAUGCCUUUUUAGAACAACCCAAAGCAUGCCUCAGCUCUGUGCUCUUGUUUUCCAAAUGAAAUCACAGAUUUCUCACCUUCAUCCUUUCCUUGCCAAUUUUAAAACUGUAUUUUUUGGACCUCCUCCGUGGGUCCAGGCUGGCUCCACGGUCGCCGUCCCCUCCAUGCUCCCCUGAGUGGCAUGCUGAGCACACCUGGGGUCACGAAGCGUCAAAAACGGGAAAAGCUCCCCUCUGUUCACAGGCACAGGGAGGAAGGCGCAGCGAGGGGCAGGAGCAGCCCCGGACCACAGAGUCGGCCGACACAGACGUUCUGCCCAGGCGCCGGGACCCCAUCCCCUCAACAAAGUAAACCCGAAUGUAAGAGACCCCGGGCUUCCCAGGUUCCUUUCCUGCAAGCCUUCUCUGGGCCUUUCCUAAGCCCAUGCUCACUGCGGUGGCCCCAGGGGCAGAGGGUUUGUUGGCAGUGUUUCCAAGGCUCCUUACCCAAGGAUGCACAAUUCACAAAGUGUCCCAGAGAGCCAGGGAGCCCGACACCCACAGGCACCCAGCCCCAGAGCACUGCCCAGCCGGAAAGACUGCCCUUGGGGAGGUGUGGGGCCACACGGCCCGGCAUUCUGUGCACGCUCCUCAGCCUUGCCCUGAGCUGCUCCCAGGUGGGCCUGGCUGAAGGUGUGUAUGGUGUUCUGUUCACCUGAGCAACUCCACAGCCUCCAGCACAGAACCUGAAACAUCCAGAGCCUGUUGAUUGACAGAUGCAAAUGCCAUUAAAUGAGAAUAUUUGAAACCACUCAUCCUAACUUAAGCAAAGCCGAGUAGCACCUCUCUGGGGAAAGCCAUUAAACACUGAGGAUUCGCCAUGGUGCACGAUUCCCUUGAUGCAGCUGCCAGGCUCGGGCUAGGGGCUUGAGUGGCCAGGCCGGUGACCAGCUGCUCCCUCUGUCCUGAUACGGCUGUAGGUCACAGAGUAGUAGCAGCUGUACUAGGAAUGGCUCUGUUCCAGCAGUUUCUUGUCUAAUCCUUGCAGCACCCCCUGAGAUAGAGGUCUUAUCUCCACCUAACAACUCAGAACAGAGGCUCAGAGACAGACGUGUCUGCAAGGGGCAGAGUCAGGGCUCCCACUCGGGUCCGCCGAGCUGUCCUCUCAUCCACUCUGCUGUCUGGCGGGGUAAGGGACAGGCGGUGCGCUGUGGUGCCCUCGGGCCACCUGGAGGCAGGAAGUCCCUGAUGUGUGGAGGCCGCCUGCUCCCGCAGACUUUCCUGCCCUAGUCCUAGUCCGGGGGCAUGUGCAGGGUCCACGUGCAGAGCCCCAGGACCGAAGGGCAGAAGCGGCUUACCCUGUGGGCUCCGUCUGAGGCCUGGCUCCCUCCCUCAGGAUCCUCAGUUGCCUUCGUCGGGUUCCGGUCUUGCUCCUCUCCCCGACUCCCACCUCCUCGCCCUGGACUGAUGGUCAGAGUGUGCCCAGUGUUGCCGGCCUCCCGAGACGCCCAGAUUUCUGACCCACCGUGGCCACGAGCCCACUCACCUGCUCUGAGGUGCCCAGGUGCCUCUACACUAAGUCCCAGCCCUCCUAGUCAGCCCUCCCCGCGGCCAGUCCCGCGUGGGGAAGCCUGCCCAGGGGCGAGGUCUCGGAUGCUGACAGGGGGCCUGUCCUUAACCGCCGUUAGUUUUAGAAGUCCUAGAACCAUUCGAGGAAUAAACAAGCCUUGUGAGUUUUUUAGCCUCUUAGGUGAACGUAACAUUAAACAUGCAGGAUAUUAAAAAUGGUAAC